RNAcentral lists this ribosomal RNA (253 nucleotides) under uncultured bacterium. RNAcentral's name for it is "partial 16S ribosomal RNA". It matches the Rfam family "Bacterial small subunit ribosomal RNA", at positions 524 to 776 of the family's 1533-position model. The record is from RNAcentral.
UACGGAGGGUGCGAGCGUUACCCGGAUUUACUGGGUGUAAAGGGCGUUUAGGCGGUCUCUCAAGUCCGAUGCUAAAGACCGAGGCUCAACCUCGGGAGUGCGUUGGAUACUGUGAGGCUAGACGGUCGGAGAGGGCAGCGGAAUUCUCGGAGUAGCGGUGAAAUGCGCAGAUACCGAGAGGAACGCCAAUAGCGAAGGUAGCUGCCGGGACGAUUUGUUACGCUGAGGCGCGAAAGCGUGGGGAGCAAACCGG